GGCCCUAUCGUCUAGUGGCCUAGGACGUGGCCUUCUCAAGGCCAAAACACGAGUUCGAUUCUCGUUAGGGCUACCA
RNAcentral lists this transfer RNA (76 nucleotides) under Candidatus Harrisonbacteria bacterium RIFCSPLOWO2_02_FULL_45_10c. RNAcentral's name for it is "tRNA-Glu". It matches the Rfam family "tRNA". From Rfam's summary of the family: Transfer RNA (tRNA) molecules are approximately 80 nucleotides in length. Their secondary structure includes four short double-helical elements and three loops (D, anti-codon, and T loops). Further hydrogen bonds mediate the characteristic L-shaped molecular structure. tRNAs have two regions of fundamental functional importance: the anti-codon, which is responsible for specific mRNA codon recognition, and the 3' end, to which the tRNAs corresponding amino acid is attached (by aminoacyl-tRNA synthetases). tRNAs cope with the degeneracy of the genetic code in two manners: having more than one tRNA (with a specific anti-codon) for a particular amino acid; and 'wobble' base-pairing, i.e. permitting non-standard base-pairing at the 3rd anti-codon position. RNAcentral also lists the same sequence under 1 other name. Lineage: Bacteria; Candidatus Harrisoniibacteriota. The record is from RNAcentral.